CGGACGGGUGAGUAAUGUCUGGGAAACUGCCUGAUGUAGGGGUAUAACUACUGGAAACGGUAGCUAAUACCGCAUAACGUCGCAAGACCAAAGAGGGGGACCUUCGGGCCUCUUGCCAUCGGAUGUGCCCAGAUGGGAUUAGCUAGUAGGUGGGGUAACGGCUCACCUAGGCGACGAUCCCUAGCUGGUCUGAGAGGAUGACCAGCCACACUGGAACUGAGACACGGUCCAG
Molecule: ribosomal RNA, 232 nt
Filed under: uncultured Enterobacterales bacterium
Lineage: Bacteria; Pseudomonadati; Pseudomonadota; Gammaproteobacteria; Enterobacterales
Description: partial 16S ribosomal RNA
Rfam family: Bacterial small subunit ribosomal RNA
Source: RNAcentral